RNAcentral lists this ribosomal RNA (758 nucleotides) under uncultured bacterium. RNAcentral describes it as "bacterial SSU rRNA". It matches the Rfam family "Bacterial small subunit ribosomal RNA", at positions 28 to 776 of the family's 1533-position model. The record is from RNAcentral.
GAUGAACGCUAGCUACAGGCUUAACACAUGCAAGUCGAGGGGCAGCGGGAUUGAAGCUUGCUUCAAUCGCCGGCGACCGGCGCACGGGUGAGUAACGCGUAUCCAACCUUCCGCAUACUCGGGGAUAGCCUUCUGAAAAGGAGAUUAAUACCCGAUGGUAUCAAGAGAUUGCAUGAUAACUUGAUUAAAGAAAUUCGGUAUGCGAUGGGGAUGCGUUCCAUUAGGUAGUAGGCGGGGUAACGGCCCACCUAGCCAACGAUGGAUAGGGGUUCUGAGAGGAAGGUCCCCCACAUUGGAACUGAGACACGGUCCAAACUCCUACGGGAGGCAGCAGUGAGGAAUAUUGGUCAAUGGACGAGAGUCUGAACCAGCCAAGUAGCGUGAAGGAUGAAGGUUCUAUGGAUUGUAAACUUCUUUUAUAAGGGAAUAAAACCUCCCACGUGUGGGAGCUUGUAUGUACCUUAUGAAUAAGCAUCGGCUAACUCCGUGCCAGCAGCCGCGGUAAUACGGAGGAUGCGAGCGUUAUCCGGAUUUAUUGGGUUUAAAGGGAGCGCAGACGGGGGAUUAAGUCAGUUGUGAAAGUUUGGGGCUCAACCUUAAAAUUGCAGUUGAUACUGGUUCUCUUGAGUGCAGUUGAGGCAGGCGGAAUUCGUGGUGUAGCGGUGAAAUGCUUAGAUAUCACGAAGAACCCCGAUUGCGAAGGCAGCUUGCUAAACUGUAACUGACGUUCAUGCUCGAAAGUGUGGGUAUCAAACAGG